RNAcentral lists this ribosomal RNA (1692 nucleotides) under uncultured Rickettsia sp. Its description in RNAcentral is "partial 23S ribosomal RNA". It matches the Rfam family "Bacterial large subunit ribosomal RNA", at positions 29 to 1869 of the family's 2925-position model. The record is from RNAcentral. Lineage: Bacteria; Pseudomonadati; Pseudomonadota; Alphaproteobacteria; Rickettsiales; Rickettsiaceae.
UGCCUUGGCAUUAGAAGGCGAUGAAGGACGUAAUACGCUGCGAUAAGCUUCGGGGAGCUGCGAAUAAGCUUUGAUCCGAAGAUUUCCGAAUGGGGAAACCCACCUAAUUUAUUAGGUAUUGUAUAGUGAAUACAUAGCUAUAUGAGGCAAACCCAGCGAACUGAAAUAUCUAAGUAGCUGGAGGAAAGGACAUCAACCGAGACUCCGUUAGUAGUGACGAGCGAACGCGGACCAGGCCAGUGGCUUCAAAAAAAUAACUAAAACAACAUGGAAAGGUUGACCGUAGAGGGUGAUAGCCCCGUAUAGGUAAAAAGUUUGAAGUCCUUGAGUAAGGCGGGACACGUGAAAUCCUGUCUGAACAUAGGGGGACCACCCUCUAAGCCUAAGUACUCUCUAGUGACCGAUAGUGAACAAGUACCGUGAGGGAAAGGUGAAAAGUACCCCGACAAGGGGAGUGAAAUAGUAUCUGAAACCAAAUGCUUACAAGCAGUCGGAGCAAGCAUUUAUGUCUUGUGACGGCGUACCUUUUGUAUAAUGGGUCAGCGACUUAGUUUAUCUAGCAAGCUUAAGCCGUUAGGUGUAGGCGUAGCGAAAGCGAGUCUGAAUAGGGCGACUAUAGUUAGAUGAAUUAGACCCGAAACCGAGUGAUCUAGCCAUGGCCAGGUUGAAAGCGGAGUAAAAUCCGCUGAAGGACCGAACCCACUACUGUUGAAAAAGUAGGGGAUGAGCUGUGGUUAGGGGUGAAAGGCCAAUCAAACUCGGAUAUAGCUGGUUCUCCGCGAAAUCUAUUUAGGUAGAGCGUUAUAGCGGUUACCAUCGGAGGUAGAGCACUGAAUGAGCUAGGGGGUCCCACAGACUUACCAAACUCAAUCAAACUCCGAAUGCCGAUGAGUAUAGCAUAGCAGACAGACUAUGGGUGCUAAGGUCCAUAGUCGAGAGGGAAAAAGCCCAGACCGCCAUCUAAGGUCCCUAAAUCAUGACUAAGUGUUAAAGGAUGUGAGAAGACCAAAACAACUAGGAUGUUGGCUUAGAAGCAGCCAUCAUUUAAAGAAAGCGUAAUAGCUCACUAGUCUAAAUAAGUUUUCUUGCGCCAACAAUGUAACGGGGCUCAAGUCAUGUACCGAAGAUGCGGAUUCACACAUUUGGUGUGAGUGGUAGCGGAGCGUUCCGUAAGCCUGUGAAGGUGAACCGUAAGGUUUGCUGGAGGUAUCGGAAGUGAGAAUGCUGACAUAAGUAGCGAUAAAGAAUGCGAGAAACAUUCUCGCCGAAAGUCCAAGGGUUCUUGCGUAAAGUUAAUCUGCGCAAGGUUAGUCGGCCCCUAAGGUGAGGCUGAAAGGCGUAAUCGAUGGGAAUCAGGUUAAUAUUCCUGAACCUGAAGGAUGUGACGAAAGUAGUAAGUUGUACAGUCUUAUUGGAUUGAUUGUGCAGCGAAUAUUUUCCAGGAAAUAACACCUUCAUUAUAGACCGUACCCGAAACCGACACAGGUGGACAGGUAGAGUAUACCAAGGCGCUUGAGAGAACGAUGCUGAAGGAACUAGGCAAAUUGCAUCUGUAACUUUGGAAGAAAGAUGACCUACAUAUGGGCAACCAUUUGUGGGUGGCACAAGCUAGGGGGUAGCGACUGUUUAUUAAAAACACAGGGCUCUGCAAAGUCAAUAGACGAAGUAUAGGGUCUGACGCCUGCCCAGUGC